RNAcentral lists this transfer RNA (74 nucleotides) under Pseudomonadota bacterium. RNAcentral's name for it is "tRNA-Arg". It matches the Rfam family "tRNA". Rfam says of the family: Transfer RNA (tRNA) molecules are approximately 80 nucleotides in length. Lineage: Bacteria; Pseudomonadati; Pseudomonadota. RNAcentral also lists the same sequence under 1 other name. The record is from RNAcentral.
GGCCUCGUAGCUCAACUGAAUAGAGCAUCUGACUACGGAUCAGAAGGUUGGGGGUUUGAAUCCCUCCGAGGUCA